GACGAACGCUGGCGGCGUGCCUAAUACAUGCAAGUCGAGCGGACUUAAAAAGCUUGCUUUUUAAGUUAGCGGCGGACGGGUGAGUAACACGUGGGCAACCUGCCUGUAAGACUGGGAUAACUUCGGGAAACCGGAGCUAAUACCGGAUAAUCCUUUUCUACCCAUGUAGAAAAGCUGAAAGACGGUUUACGCUGUCACUUACAGAUGGGCCCGCGGCGCAUUAGCUAGUUGGUGAGGUAACGGCUCACCAAGGCGACGAUGCGUAGCCGACCUGAGAGGGGGAUCGGCCACACUGGGACUGAGACACGGCCCAGACUCCUACGGGAGGCAGCAGUAGGGAAUCUGCCGCAAUGGACGAAAGUCUGACGGAGCAACGCCGCGUGAGUGAUGAAGGUGUUCGGAUCGUAAAGCUCUGUUGUUAGGGAAGAACAAGUACGAGAGUAACUGCUCGUACCUUGACGGUACCUAACCAGAAAGCCACGGCUAACUACGUG
This 494-nucleotide ribosomal RNA is filed under the name uncultured bacterium. RNAcentral describes it as "partial 16S ribosomal RNA". It matches the Rfam family "Bacterial small subunit ribosomal RNA", at positions 28 to 507 of the family's 1533-position model. The record is from RNAcentral.